Molecule: long non-coding RNA, 5220 nt
Filed under: Prunus persica (peach)
Lineage: Eukaryota; Viridiplantae; Streptophyta; Magnoliopsida; Rosales; Rosaceae
Description: long non-coding RNA (PPER_LNC007491)
Source: RNAcentral
AAUGGCUUCCUCUCUUCUUCUUCUUGUGUCAGUUUCAUGGUUCUCUUCCUUCCUGGCUCUGCUAGUCUCCCCCGCACAAGCAGCCACCUGCACCUCACAGACAUUCAAUAACAACAAGCUCUACUCCAACUGCACCGACCUCCCCGUCCUCAACUCCUACCUCCACUGGACCUACGAUACCUCCGACUCCUCUCUGUCUAUCGCCUUCAUCUCUACACCCUCCCAAUCUGACGGCUGGGUAGCGUGGGGCAUCAACCCCACCUCCACCAAGAUGGCUGGAGCACAGAUACUCUUGGCCUACAACACAGAUGGUGGGAUCCCAACCGUCAAAACCUUCAACAUCAGCUCAUACACCUCCGUGGUACCGGGAAAACUCUCAUUUGAUAUCUGGGACAUCAGCUCCGAGUUCUCCAACGGAACGUUCAAGAUCUUCGCCGCCGUUAAGGUUCCCAAAAACAAGAAGUCUGUGAACCAAGUCUGGCAGGUGGGCCCCAGGGUCAACCAAACCUCUGGUUUCCCCGACAAACAUGACAUCGUCGGCCCCAACCUCGAGUCCUUUCAGACCUUGUACUUGGCAGCUAGGCCCAUUACGGGCAAUAGCUUUAAUCCCUAUAAACCUGGCACUAGCAUUAAUCCCUAUAAUCCUGGCAACUGCAGUAGUCCAAAUACGGGCACUCCUUCCAUUAGGCAGCUCUGCACUCCCGCUAGUGGCCGUGGUGGUGGUAGUGCAGGAGGGGCUUUGAGGAUUGGGAGUGGAGGAAACGUGGUUUUGUUCUCUGUUUUGCUUUCGGUUCUUGCAGCUUUCAUUGCUUUCUAAAUUUGGUAUUUUGGAUUUGGUCUUCCUGAUUUUAUUUUUCUUCAUAGUAAUGUGAUCGAUGAGGUUUAUUGUAUAGGGAUGGUAAUUUUCUGAUGCUAUAAUGGGUCGUGUGAAGAAUAAAAUUAUGUUUGGGGAUAGCUUUGGGGAAAUUUUUUGGAUAUGAGGUUGGGGCUGGUUCGGGGAAAUUAUGAUAUAAAGUAAUAUGUAUAUUAUUUAUAUUUCAUGUAUGUAUAUAUUGCUAAGUGUGUUCUAGUUGUGUAACAUGAAUAUUAUUAAAUUUUAAAUUCUGCAUAUUUCAUUCAAUAGUUUCUAUUUUUUUUCUCUGGUAUCAAAGGCUUAAAUAGAGUUUGUUACCAAGCUCCGAUUCGCUUGGUCAUGUUCUCAUCCCUAUUAUAUUGUUGAAGAUGAAACAAUUAGCAAGUACAAAAUAUUUUUUUGAUUUUGGUUGCUUGUUUAAUAGAGUUCGUUAAGUUAAAUCCUUUUAUUUAGUGGGAGUGAGCAGCAGAAACACCAAUGACAAUGAAUCAAGGAGUACAAGGACUCUGAGUUAAACGUAACACAUGAUAGAUGACUUGGCUCAACAAAUCAGAUGGCCUACGAUACAUAGACUGUACCAAAGGAUUACCCAAUAACAAUCAACCAAACAAACUGCACACAUACCUGACUUUAACUAAACCUUUUGCAUUUCAGAACUAGUAAUCCAAUACUACUUUUUGGAGACGAGACCCAAACAUCCUAAAUCAGUUCAGAAAUUGAAAACUCAUUCAAUCAAAUUAUUAAACAGAUGGCAUAUGCAUUCAAAGUGACAUCCUAGGCACUCAGAAGGAUCCGCCAAGCUAGGACUCCGCAUUUCUUGCUCAAAUCCAUACGUUCAGAAGCAAAUAAUAAGACAUGCUGAUGAAAUAAACUAAAGGAACUUUGCAAAACAAAGAUACAGAACAACCAUUCUGUUUGGUUAUGAUUAAUCAUAUUUGACACUCUUGUAAUUUUACUUAGUAAUUUAAAAGCUCAAUGGAUCUAGAUUAGGAUAAUGGUGCUAGCAUAAAUUUUUUUACUUUGUAAUUUUACUUUGGACAUAAGCAUAAUUUUUUUAAAGAGAUCGUUACAUUGUUAAAUGAUAUUAUUAAUUUACGCUUUAUAAUUAAUAUAGAUGAAUGACAUACUGAUAUGUGCAUGCAUAUGUAUUAUAAAGUAGAUUGAAACCACCCUACAUUCCACAUGUGUCGCAAGGGAAGACUUAUUAUAAGACGCCGCCUCCUAUCCGCUUAUAAUUUUAAGAGAGAGUUGCUCAACAUUUUAUUUUUUUUUUGGGUAAGAGAGAUUUGCUCAACUUUAUAAAGCAGAAUUAUUUCAUCUUUUUUUACCAAAGACAAGAACAUGAAAUACUUUCUUUUAAGUUUCUAGACUUGUCUAUUGUCACGCUUGAAAAACUCCAUUUCCUUCUGUCUAAAAUUCUCCCUCAAUCAGCAUCUCUUCAGUCUCAGGUUAGUAAGGAUUCUCAAAUUUUGCUCAUUUUCUGAGUUACCUUCUCCACUACAACUCUUUUGUCCCAAACAAAGGUUGAAGUAUUUUCAAAUAGGGCCCACCACUUGAAGUCAAUUGUCGCUCAAUUUUGGUGGCAUUUUCAGAGAGAGUUUCCUCGUUCUCAGAUUGAGCAUUUUGCAGCUUCUUCCAUACAGGCAUUCUGGCGCCGCCAUCGGGCAAAGGCUAAGGGCCCAACUGGAUGGGACAAACUUACAUUAAAUUAGCCAAAACUACGACAUCCAAAAAAAAGAAGAGUGUAAUAAGCACAUAAACCAACUACUUUUCUUUUUUUCUUAUCUUAUUUGGGUAUUUUGUUUGUGUUUGUGUUGCUUUGUUUGUUUUCGAUUGUUUACUAUUUGUCAUCCUUGGUUCGUUCCCCUUCAAUGUCGAGGUGUGGACUGCUUUGAAGGGAGCAUUUUUCUCACAAUUUUAAUCCAAUGUAUAUUUUUACCAUUAUUCUCAAUACUUGACAGGUGUCUUUAAGUAUAACCAUAGUUACAUAAAUCGAAGUAAAAAAGUUAAUUAUGGUUAUGCUUAUGAAUACGUGUCAAAUAUUGAAAAGGGUGGUGAACAAAAAUAUUUCUCUGCUUUGAAUUUGUUUUGGACCUUGUAACAUGCAAUAAUUUAUUAUCAUUUUGAAGUUGUGCCUUGUUUUGAGUUUUUUAAAGUGGUUUUCUUCGGCCUUGGCCCUUUUCUAUAUGGUUUCCUUGUUUUGGCUUUGUACAAGCCACUAGGUUUCUUGUUAAGUAAUGAUCUUGUGACCCAAAAAAGAGGCUAAUUUUGUUUGCAGUAACACCCUUGAAUAAUGACAAUACCAAAAAAGCCUUAUUUGCUUACUGAAAGUAUUUAAAAAGUGUCUUUUGACCUCUAGGCAAUAGUUGUUGUAAGAGUAAGUUCUAUGAAGGAUAAAAUUAGGCACGAAGACAUGUUUGGGGAGAUUUAUGGAUAUGGUGUUGGGAAUUAUAUUGUAUCUUGAAUUAAAUAAUUAAUUCAUAAAAAAUAAAACUUUCCUUUUGUUUGCUGUUCUAAUCCAAUCAUUUCUAUUAUAUAUAUUUUUGCUCAUUCAAAAAUUAUUAUUUUUAUGAGUAUUAUUGUAAGGUCAGGAAUCCUUUCUCCAAUGAAUGCGAGAAGGGGGAAAUGUCGGGUUUCAAUAUUAUGGGUGUUGAGGCAGGAAUGAAAUACGAAUGGCUUACUCGAUUCGACCUGUUAUACAAUCAUCUUCAUCAUAAUCCUAUUAAGAGCCAACAUAGCCCAGUUCCCUUGUAUUGUAUUCACCCUCUCAACAAAACCAUUGAAAAGCUCGGCUCCGUCGCUUCUGACACAAGAUCUGCUUGGCAAGGGCAACAAAACCAUUAAAAAUAAGAUAUUAAUAUAUCUUAUGUGCAUGCAUACGUAUUAUAAAGUAGAUUGAAACCACCCUACAUUCGACAUGUGUCAGUUGCACUCAAAAAUAAUAUUCCGCUUAUUGUGACCUUUCUUAACAGCAAUAAAGGAUGAAUGCAAAUGAGCUUGGAAAAGACAAGAGCAACGUCUUAUCUGCUUUUAGGAGAGAUUUGCAAAUGAGCAGCAUUAUUUCAUCUUUUUGGCCAAAGACAACACCACCACUCCAACUUUCAUUGAGCCAUAGAAUAUGAAAUACUUUCUUUCAGUUUUCUAGACUUGUCUAUUGUCAAGCUUGAAAAACUCCAUUUCGUUAUGUCCAAAUUCUCCAUCUAUCCGUAUCUCUUCACUCUCAGGUUAGUAAGGAUUCUCACUAAAACUUGAUUGUUGUUAGAGGGGCAAAACAGAGAAGAAGGAAAAAAAACUUAUUUUUAUUCUUUGGAAAGAGAUAUACUCGUGGAAACUAUUGAGAGGGAGAGUGGGGUCAAUUUUGGAGAAUUAUAUCUAUAUGUUAGUUUUCCCACGAACAUAUUUAUCUCUAAUUAGCUUUUAACAUGCCAGAAAACAAUCCAGGGCAAUCAUAAAAAGUACAAUCCAUAAGUCAGAUCUCAACUAUAUAUGCACGAACACUAAGAUAAGACUGACUAAUUAAUCAAGCGGAAAGCAUAGUAUUAGUGGAAGCAAAAUUAUUUCAUCUUUUUGCUAAAGAUAAUAAUCCUUCAGUUAUUUUUACUCGUAUUUUAUUUUUUUAUUCAUUUUAUCUUCUAAUCUAUCAUGUAAAUUAAAAAAAUAAUAAUAACCUUACCUUUUCAUACAUCAUUAUUCCAAAAAUACCCUUAAUUCAAUUCAAACUAAGAACCAAUCAUGACUAUAACAUGAAUGCAAGUUAAAUGGGCAAGAAAUGAACAAAGAAUGGAAAUAACAGCACUCUAAUUCUUUUGGCAACACUCCAACUUCUAUGGGCCAUAAUUGAAUUCAGACAUUUAUCUUCUCUUCAGCUUUUGCUAAAGACAUUUAUCCUUUCUUCGGUCUGUCCAAAUUCUCUCUCUCUCUCUCUCUCCCCAAUGGCUUCCUCUCUUCUUCUUCUUGUGUCAGUUUCAUGGUUCUCUUCCUUCCUGGCUCUGCUAGUCUCACCCGCACAAGCAGACACCUGCACCUCACAGGUAUUCAUUAACAGCAAUCUCUACUCCAGCUGCACCGACCUCCCCGUCCUCAGCUCCUACCUCCACUGGACCUACGAUACCUCCAACUCCUCUCUGUCCAUCGCCUUCAUCUCUACACCCCCCCAAUCUGACGGCUGGGUAGCGUGGGGCAUCAACCCCACCUCCACCAAGAUGGCUGGGGCACAGAUACUCUUGGCCUACAACACAGAUAGUGGGAUCCCAACCGUCAAAACCUUCAACAUCAGCUCAUACACCUCCGUGGUACCGGGAAAACUCUCGUUUGAUAUCUGGGACAUCAGCUCCGAGUUCUCCAACGGAACGUUCAAGAUCUUCGCC